Gossypium arboreum is the source of this 610-nucleotide long non-coding RNA. RefSeq lists it as uncharacterized. Lineage: Eukaryota; Viridiplantae; Streptophyta; Magnoliopsida; Malvales; Malvaceae. The transcript has 2 exons. The record is from RefSeq and is a predicted model, not a curated record.
ACUUGAGAGAUAGGGUUUUGGCACAUGUCGUGGGAGCAAAAGAUAUGAAAGCCAAUUUUGGCUUGAUAGCUUCCCUUGAGGGAUAGGGUUCUAUUACGUGUCAUGAGAGCAAUAGAAUGUGAGCCAUUUUAGGCUUUAUAGCUUUCACUAAGGGAUAGGGCUCUACCACAUGUCGUGGGAGUAAUUAUAUGAAAAUCAUUUUUGGCUUGACAGGUUCCCCUAAGGGGUAGGGCUCUACCAUAUGUCAUGGAAGAAAAACAACAAUUUUGAAUUGUGACAUGAGAGCAAGACACUUUAUCAAUUGUGGUGUAUGAUCCGCCUUUUGUUAUGGUGUUUUGAAAAUCCUUUGAAAAGUAAUUGCUGUUGAUUGCACAAUUGAAGUCUGGAUAUGGAGCUUUAAACUACAAUAGGAGAGAAUCAUGUAAGUCUCUAUGCUUACUCUUGUUUGUAUGAUUAUGGUACUUGUAGAUCUGUAAGAGAGUGGUUGAAAGAUGAUGUUGUGAUCUUUGAGGUACAAUAUGCUAUGUAUGUGACCUUUUGUAUGGUUAUUGAAGUGUGUUUAUGACCGUGCUGAUGUUUGUUGAGAAUGAUAAGCAUACUUGUUAUAGAA